AAGUCGUAACAAGGUUUCCGUAGGUGAACCUUCGGAAGGAUCAUUAUCGAAAUGCAGCGGGGGCAGACGGCCGCAAGGUCGCCGGCCGCCGCGUACACGCAUUCCACCACCCUUGACUUUGAGCACCGUUUUGUUUCCUCGGCAGGGACGCUUGCCAGCGGGGACCCCAUCGAACACUUGCAGUAGCAGUCUUUGUCUGAGAAAAACACAAAAAAUCAAAACUUUCAACAAUGGAUCUCUUGGUUCUG
This 248-nucleotide unclassified non-coding RNA is filed under the name fungal sp. RNAcentral describes it as "partial internal transcribed spacer region". The stretch from base 1 to 46 matches the Rfam family "Eukaryotic small subunit ribosomal RNA", at positions 1786 to 1831 of the family's 1831-position model. The record is from RNAcentral. Lineage: Eukaryota; Fungi.